GAUGCUGUGCCAUUAAUGUAACCGUCGACAAGAUCUAUUCUCCUACGUAAAAAGUUUGGCUUCCCUGAACUACGACGUUCAGGGAUGUAACAAGAAAGAGGUUGGCAAUAUCGCGGGUCGUUCUCCGUGGAGACGGAUUCGGGUAUCGGGACGACCAAGAAUAGCAAAGAGCAGCACGCGAAUCUAUCCGUCCCGUGGCCGAGCGCUGUCUUACCACCGACCGUUCCCUCCGCUUGCAGCCACUUACGUUAUUUCAUGAGUGAUCUUUCGCACGGUGACGCGCACGGAUUGCGAUUAGCUCGUAUAUGGGGGCAAGGGACGGUGGACGCUUCUUUCGGCGUCUUGAGUCGCGCCUAGUGAAUCGAAGUGAAGUGAUAUCGCCAAGUAGAAAAUCCGGAACAUUGUUGAAGAGAGAGUGAAAAGGAAAAGAGAGGAAAAGAAAAGAAAAGAGAUAGAUAUAUAUAUAUAUAUAUAUAUAUAUAUAGAGAGAGAGAGAGAGAGACAGAUAGAGGAAAAAAGCAAAAGAGAAAAGAUAGGGAGAAAGAGAUAGAGCGAACGAAGAGAAUUGAGAGUAACAGAGACAGAGAGACGAGAACGUGAAAAAGACAGAGAUAGAGAUAGAGAUAGAGAUAGAGAUAGAGAUAGAAGUGGAAGGAGACGUAUAGACCAAGCGCGCAGUGGUUAUAAGGUUGUCGAGCUCGAUUGUGCGUGCUUCGAGGCAAUGUCUCUCGAGACUCGUUCGAGCUCGGCUCUAUUUAAAAGAGCCGAACAGCUGAAACGUUGGGAACAAUCUGAAACAAAUCGAGAACCGGCCCAACCGCGUCAAGUAACAAGGAAAAUCAAAUUUUCCGAUGAUUGUGUCUUCUUGGCGGCAUGUGCGGCAGGCGACAAGGAGGAGGUUGUGCGUUUACUCCAAAAAGGGGCGGACAUCAACACCGGAAACGUCGAUGGUCUCACGGCGUUGCACCAGGCAUGCAUCGACGAUGAUCUGGAUAUGGUAGAAUUUUUGGUAGAACAAGGAGCAGAUAUAAAUCGUGGGGACAAUGAAGGAUGGACGCCCCUACAUGCUACAGCAUCUUGUGGCUUCAUAUCAAUAGCUAAAUAUUUGAUAGAGCAAGGGUGCAAUUUGGCAGCAGUUAACAAUGACGGCGAAUUGGCCCUUGAUAUCGCAGAAAAGGUUGAAAUGGAGGAUAUGCUACAGCAACAUAUAAAUAAAGCAGGCAUAGAUUGUGAUCAAGCCAGAAGCGAAGAGGAAAGGUCAAUGUUAAAUGAUGCAAGAGCUUGGAGAUCAGGAGCAGCAGGCAAAGAUUCAAUGCAUCCUAGAACAGGAGCUACGGCACUUCAUGUUGCUGCUGCUAAAGGCUACAUCAAAGUCAUGAAUAUUCUCCUUCAGGCUCGAUGCGAUGUUAAUGCACAAGAUUUCGAUGGAUGGACACCUUUACAUGGUGCAGCACAUUGGGGUCAAUUAGAAACUUGUAAACUACUUGUGGAUAAUUUUUGUGAUAUGGACAUAAAAAAUUAUGCAGGACAAACUGCUUUUGAUGUUGCUGAUGCAGAUAUUUUAAAAGAUUUAGAAGAAUUGAAACAAAAACAAUUAACUAUGAUGAAAGAUCAUCCACAAAUAAUUAAUAAAAAACAACCUUCUGUACCAAAGAAACGUAUUUCAACUAGUACUGAUAAUACUGUAACGACACAAGAGAGUCCUGAAAUUCUAGAAGAGGAAACGCCAAAUAAAGUUAAAAAAGUAGAAGUGGAAAUUCAAUCUGAUAAAGACGAUUCUAGUACUGGAACGAAUAGCGACGUCGAAGCAACACGAGAAACAGAUAUGGAAGAGAGUGAUGGCGAAGUUGUUUCUGAAACUAGCUCAGAAUCACGCUCUUCCACCUGCUCCAAUCAGUCUGAUAAGUCUAACCAAUCAAACCAUUCCACAUGUCUUACAGAUGAUGAAAAGAAAAACAGAGUGAACAAAGAGGAAACUGCAAGUCAUUCUCCGCUAUCUCCUAUUGAAAUCAAUAAAGUUCCUAAUCAAGCUCCAGUAUUGCCUCCUAAGCAGCAAACUGAUAAUAAUGAAGAGGGAGUUGUUCCAUCCUGGAGGCGUUCAGGUUCUUUCAGAAGUAGAAUACAAAAUGUAGAAGAACUUGAAGAUAAGGACAAAAGUACUAAGUUGCUGAAUACACCAAACAAAAUUACUACUGAACCGGAGGUAGUAUUAAGAAGAACACACAGUUUUGAGACAGACGAGAAGUUCUAUGAGCAGUACUUGGCAUUACACGCUCGUAUCAAGGCAUCUUCCUGCCCUACUCUCCAUCGUUGUAACGCAGUUUCUCCUACUCAUACCAAUGCUACAACACGUUCUGCAUCUCUGCGCGAAACACACAGAAGGAAAGAAAUCAAAUUAAAUUUGGAAUUAUCAAGAACGCCACAGGGAAGCAAUACACUUUCACCAACAUCUCCAUCUAAAACAUCACCACUAAGUGCACUGCCAACUACAACCAUUACAACUGCCAAUACAAUGACAACGACAAUUGCUACUAGUCCUGUUCCUGUGAAUCAGAUACGCAGUGUUCAACCAACGGAAGCUACAUCUACACUUCUAUCGAGUGCAAACAAUACUGUACCAGUAUCUGGAACUCCCACUACACCUGGAGGGAGCAAGCUAAGUCCAGGAAAUAUCUUCAAGAAUUUCUUCAAAUCCUUUGUCCCACCUGUUCGUGAUGAAGAAAGUGAAACACAAAGAAAAGCACACGCGAAGAGAGUACGAGAAACUCGGCGUUCGACUCAGGGAGUAACAUUAGAUGAAAUCAAAAGUGCAGAACAACUUGUAAAGAAAAAACAACAAAACAACGAAGUGCCCAGUUUGACAGCACCUUCUCCGCAGCAGCCUGCAGCUUCUGUCAGCAAUACAGCCUCAAUCACAGCUACAAUAACAACAGCAACUCCUACCACAGUGACUGCAAAUAAACCUUCUGAAGAAUCUAAUUUGCCUGAAAGGCGACCUUCUUGGAGACUCAGGGUAGAUAAUGGAAGCAAGUUUCAGUUAGAGGAUGCAAAUAACAGGUCACCUGACAUUACAUCUACUUAUAUGAGAAGGCCAUCCGGUGGAACUGGUAUACCCAGACCAUCAUCUGCACCUGUGGAAACGAUCACGCCAAGUCCUGCAGAAACUACUGUAACAUUACCACUUCGACGAUCAUUAAAACCAUCUGAAGACAAAGAACAAGAUAAAGAAAAUGAUAGCAGAAAUGCACAAGCUACUCAAGCAGUUAUACAAAGGAGAAGGAGGCCUAAAAGACGUUCUACGGGUGUUGUUCAUGUUGAUAUGGAUGAAAUAGAUCCUGAGAAACAAGACGUAUCUGCUGGUGGUGAUUUUGAGGAUACUAAAGUGAAUCACAGUGAGAGUGGAAAUGAUAGACCUGGGAGGUCGAAUAGACUAGGUUCUGUAUCAUCAAUAUCAUCUGAAAUAUCUUCAGCUUCAACAAGAAUCAAAUCUACGACUUCAGAAAAUGGUGAAAUUGACUAUAAAAAAUUAUAUGAAGAAUCUCAAGCAGAAAAUGAAAGACUUAGAGAAAAACUUAAGCGAUCAGAUGAACAAUUGAAAGAAGUUAGAAGUUUAUUAGAUAAAGCACAGAAUUCCCAGAACAAGUCUGUUUUAUCUGAGGCAGAAAAAAGGGAAAGGAGGGCCAUGGAGAGAAAGUUAUCAGAAAUGGAAGAAGAAUUAAAGGUUAUGGAUCAGUUAAAAUGUGAAAACCAGAGGCUAAAGGAUGAAAAUGGUGCCUUGAUCAGAGUGAUCAGUAAAUUAUCCAAAUAACUUCAGUGCUCCCAUGUUAAAAGCAACAUGAAUCCUUUUUAGUUGUGCUGCUCCUGCAUUGAUCGAAUUCUUUUAAAUGUAUUAUCGAGGCAUAUUCGUAGAGGAAGAAGAUCUGUCUCAGGCAUGAACCGAUAAUCCUAGAAAUAAUAAAAUAAAGAUUCUUGAACUAUCUUUUUAAAAUAUUUAACAUCAGAAGUUAAUUGACUUUAAGAAUAAAAUUUAAUGUAUCGACAUAUAUUAUUAUACCUGUUUUUCCUCUUUCUCUCGUAAUGGAAUUGUUUUCUUGUUUACACUAUCCCAUGCCCUGGUUUCAUUAAAAACUAACUGUCCACUUUCUAGAAUUGAAAUCUGCCGAUUUAUCUCAUAUUUUAUGGCCGAGGCAACAGCACGUACGUGUGCAAUAUUUUUUAAUUCCGUACGAACACCUAAAUUAUCAUCAUUACUUACGGAAACAUUUGCAUCAAUUCUGAAUGCUCCUUCUAUAAUGUUAUGUUAAAAUUAUAAAUCUAUAUACAACAUUAUAUUUAUAUACAAAAAAAAAAAAAAAAAAAUUAUAUAUAUUUGUAGACGGACCUUCCAUUUUACAUGAGCAAGUGCCCAAUAUUUUAAAAAUGUUCACAAGUUCUUUUACAGCAGCUGCUGCUUCCUCUCCGUUGCUUAAAUCUGGUUCAAAAACCAAUUCCAUUAAUGGUACACCUGCACGAUUUAGAUCUAUGAGAUUCCUAUCAUAACAGACAUAUAUGAACUCUGCAAUAUAUUAAUAUUAUAAUUGGAAAGUUAAUAAAACAAAAAAAAACAAAAAAAAAAAAAAAAAAAAAAAAAAAAAAAAAAAAAAAAAAAAAAAAAAAAACAAUAAUGAGACACUACAAUAGAUUACAUAAAUAAUAAUUAAUAACUCUUAAAAUGACUUAUGCGAUUAAAGUAAUUUUUUUACCUUCCAAUGGAUUCAUCAUGAAAACUUCGCCCACUAUCUUGUUCCAAUUGUAUUUGUUUUAUUUUCGACGUUUUUACGUACAGUUCUCCAUGUGCAUCUGGAUCCUCCACUAAGAAACAUAAUUUGCCAUUAAUAGCCAAUGGUUGUUUGGAUUGCGUAAUUUGAUAUCCAGCCUAUAUUUGUAAAAUAUUACAUACAAUGCAUUCAUAUACAUAUAUAUUUAUUAUUAAAGAAAUAGUUAACAUACCGGUAAAUCUGCAUAAAAGUAAUGUUUUCUUUCAAAUACUGAAAUCUCAUUUAAUGUACAAGAUAACGCUAAGGCAGUGCUAAUACCUGCUUCAACACAUUUUCGAUUAAGCACCUAUAAUAAUUUAUUUCGUAAAUUUAUUUUUAUAAAUAAAAAUGAUUCUAAAUUUACCGGCAUUGUCCCUGGAGUUGCGCAAUCGAAAUAAGAUACAGCAGAAUUAAUAGGCUUUUGAAACAUCGUAGAAGCAGAAGAAAACAAUUUCGAAUUUGUUGUUAUUUGUGCAUGAAUUUCUAAGCCAAUAGUAGGUUUCCAUUUCUUCCUAAAAUAUGAUAAUAAUAAUAAUAAUAAUAGUAAUAAUAAUAAUAAUAAUAAUUAAUAAAAAUACCGUAAAUAAAGGAAAUUAAUAUAUUAUGAUAUUGUUAUUUUAAGAAUAACAUUUGAAGCAGGAGAAGAGUAAUUGUUUAUACUCAGUUUUGUGUUCUUGCGUUGAUAAAUAUAUUCGUGGAAAUCGAAUGAUUGUAUUUUGAUGACAUUUCGUUGAUAUUUGACAAGAUUUAAAAGUUAUAAUCAUUUUUAAUUUUUUUCAAAAAGGACAACGAUGCGAAGACCGAUCACGUCUUAUAACUGAAGUUGGCCGAAUUUGAGACAUCGAUUAGUUAAUGUCGAAACAUCGAUUAAUUAUUGAAAUUAUCGCCGAAACUUCAAGCGAGUUAAAAUGGAAGCAAUUCGAACGAGAUUACGAUAUAUCAAUAUGCAAUCAGCUUAUAAAAAGGUUCUUGCAUAAAAUAUGAAGACAUUUAUUUAAAAGCACAAAAUAUAGCUACUUUUAUAUAAAUGUCUUGCAAAAAUCAUUGAUCGUUGGUUAAAAAAAAACAAACUUCUUUCAGUCUCAUGGACAAACUUUAAAAACAUUUUGUAUAUUAUUAAUUUACAUAUAUAUUUCUUUAAGUUAAAAUUUGUUGUCUGUAAUAUUUAGAAAUUCUUAACUCCUUUAAAAUAUUCUCUGAUU
This is an RNA transcript of Vespa velutina, 5998 nucleotides long. It is a transcript of the gene named protein phosphatase 1 regulatory subunit 12A, with no coding region annotated. The record is from RefSeq and is a predicted model, not a curated record. Lineage: Eukaryota; Metazoa; Arthropoda; Insecta; Hymenoptera; Vespidae. The transcript has 22 exons.